Non-coding RNA from Lolium perenne, 1766 nucleotides. The record is from RefSeq and is a predicted model, not a curated record. Lineage: Eukaryota; Viridiplantae; Streptophyta; Magnoliopsida; Poales; Poaceae.
GCGACGGUCGCGGACGGAGACGGGCCGGAGGUGGGGGCGGCCGCCUCAAGAGGAAGGAGCUGGGAGACCGGCGGCCGCCGCGCAUCGGCGACCUCGGCCUCCCCGCGCAUCCUCCUGGCGGAGCCACCACCGUUGCUCGUCGUCUUCCGAGAGCUCGCCGGCGCAGUUGAGCGGCGAGCAGACGGGGCUGGCCGGCGGUGAGGAGGUGGCCGCCGGGCAACGCCGCUGCGGCGACGCCACGUCAAGAAUGGCGGCAGGAGUUUCUCCCUAUUUUGCUCAGAGGUAGGUUAUGCCAUGAGCAGCUAACCGCCUUCUCCGCCCUCCUCCCAUCCACGAGUGGCCGUCGAUCUGGAGCUACACACUGUUGAGGGCAUUAGAGGUUGUUAGUGUGAUGUAUGGAUCUGGAGGUUUGUCGUUUCUCUGUUGGUUUGCUUGAGUUGUGUUUUGGUUCUGCGUGCUGGCGUUUCAUAGGUGUGCAGCCAAAGCUGCAAUCAUGACUGGAAUUAUUUUGCUUGGGAAUUAGCAGAAGGGGACAACACGGGACAAGGGGCCUGGUGUCAGCAUUCGUGUCCUGUUCUACCCCAACCCGGAGCAUGGCGACGACGGUCUCUUCUGUGGCGCUUCCUAUCCCCCAUCAGCCUUGCGGCCAGGAGCAGCAGCUUGAGAGCAGGGCCAGAGUGCGUCACCGCCUUGACCAGAUUUCUUCAACCUCCCUGUCAGGUUCGACAUGCCAGUGCCGAGCAACACACCCGAGUUGAAGAAAGACCUUGAGAUUUUGCAGUGUCGGGCGGGAGCAGGUGCUAGCGCGCCUCCACGAGAUGGGCGGUGGCGUGGAGGAUGACCGACGAGCGCGACGGAGGCGGACGCAGCUGACCUCCUUCUCUCCCUGUGGGAGCAUCAUCUUCUCUUUAUUUUUACUGACUCCUUCUAAUUCCUUCCUCCCAAAUUUUAUUUUAUUUCACAGAUAGAGUUUGGAUGUCCAGGAGAUUCACCGAGAGCGACAACAACCACCAUUGGCCUUUGUGGACUCCGUCGCUGCCCCAGGCUAUGGAAUCCUCGAAGGUUGGGCAAGAACUGCAAAUAAAUAACCACAGUAUAUGGUUCUCAUCCUCCCUCAACUCAGGUUACAGUUGCUGUAUUGCAGUUACCUUCUUGGGCAGCUCUACCUCUGUCGUGAACUGUGAUGGUUUUCCCUUGCUCCAUUUGAGUUUACUACAGGAAAUCCAAUACCCCUUCUAAAAUUCAUGCCACACUGUUGCAAUGAGUUGGCGGUGGUUAAUAUAUGAGCUCAAUAGCACUAUGGGCCUCAAGAAUACCACACUUGAGGUUGCUAAUAUACCUGAUUCAAAUAUCAGAAACCAGUCAUUUGGAUAGCAGAGCAGAAUGAAAAAUUGGCUUGCAUUCCAGGUUCCAAGGCUCGCCGGGUUUUUUUUGCUGAUAAAGAGUUGCCCUCAUGUACCUGAUCAUCUAGGUAAAUAUACAUAUGCCUAAUGAGUUCUCCGCGGUCUGCCAGUCUGCAACACAUAACUCAUACAUACUUAUACACUGACAUCCAAGCCUUUAGCUUUGUGCUGAUCAUAAGCCACUGCAUUUCCAGUGGGCCAUGCUGCUGAAGCUUUAGCCCUCAAAAGAAGAUUUAAAGAGGCUGCACAUGUUCAAUGUCAGGUACAUCUCUCAAAUCUGCACUAUACAUUCUACACUUCUAUACUUUCAAUAUGCCAUUGGUUUAAUGUUUUUCAGAUUAAACCUGAUGUGUUGGUUAUUAA